This 679-nucleotide ribosomal RNA is filed under the name Cerastes cerastes (horn viper). Its description in RNAcentral is "partial 16S ribosomal RNA". It matches the Rfam family "Bacterial large subunit ribosomal RNA", at positions 1837 to 2636 of the family's 2925-position model. Lineage: Eukaryota; Metazoa; Chordata; Lepidosauria; Squamata; Viperidae. The record is from RNAcentral.
GCSSCUAGCUAUUAAGGCACGCCUGCCCGGUGAUAAUUAAACGGCCGCGGUACCCUAACCGUGCAAAGGUAGCAUAAUCAUUUGUCUAUUAAUUGUAGACCUGUAUGAAAGGCAAAAUGAGAGCCCAACUGUCUCUUAUAAUAGAUCAAUUAAACUGAUCUUUCAGUACAAAAGCUGAAAUACCCCCAUAAGACCAGAAGACCCUGUGAAGCUUUAAUUACCCUAUUAAACCCAAUAAUAGCUAAUUUCGGUUGGGGCGACCUUGGAACAAAAAAGAACUUCCAAAUACAUGACCUAAGUCAUCAAAAAGGCAUACAAGCCACUAUUAGACCCAGUACAGCUGAUAAUUGAACCAAGUUACUCCAGGGAUAACAGCGCCAUCUUCUUCAAGAGCCCAUAUCAAAAAGAAGGUUUACGACCUCGAUGUUGGAUCAGGACAUCCUAGCAAUGCAGCCGUUACUAAGGGUUCGUUUGUUCAACGAUUAACAGUCCUACGUGAUCUGAGUUUCAGACCGGACGAUAUUUAAACAGAAAACUACRAUAAUCUUCUACAACAACACAGAGAUGCUCCCACACUUUUCAGGUUGGAGGAGAGGAAAAUGACUCAACCCUAUGUCUCAGUUAUUAUAUUUGGRGAUUAYAAAUCAAGGGUGUCAAACUARCAGCCCCACGUUGGKUC